GGAAUAUUGGACAAUGGAUGGAAAUCUGAUCCAGCCAUGCCGCGUGCAGGAAGACGGCCCUAUGGGUUGUAAACUGCUUUUGUAUGGGAGCAAUAAGGUCUAUGCGUAGACUGAUGAGAGUACCAUACGAAUAAGCAUCGGCUAACUCCGUGCCAGCAGCCGCGGUAAUACGGGGGAUGCAAGGCGUUAUCCCGGAUUUAUUGGGGUUAAAGGGUGCGUAAGCGGUUUGAUAAGUCAGCGGUGUAAAUAUUUCAGCUUAACUGAAAGGGUGCCGUUGAUACUGUCAGGCUUGAAUAUGGUUGCUGUGGGUGGAAUGUGUGGUGUAGCGGUGAAAUGCUUAGAUAUCACACAGAAUAUCGAUUGCGAAGGCAGCUCACAAAGCCAUUAUUGACGCUGAUGCACGAAAGUGUGGGGAUCAAACAGGAUUAGAUACCCUGGUAGUCCACACUGUAAACGAUGAUAACUCGCUGUCGGCGAUACACAGUCGGUAGCCAAGCGAAAGCGAUAAGUUAUCCACCUGGGGAGUAUGACCGCAAGGUUGAAACUCAAAGGAAUUGACGGGGGCCCGCACAAGCGGAGGAACAUGUGGUUUAAUUCGAUGAUACGCGAGGAACCUUACCCGGGCUCGAACGGUGCAGGAAUACGUCAGAGAUGAUGUAGCUAGCAAUAGUCUGUAUCGAGGUGCUGCAUGGUUGUCGUCAGCUCGUGCCGUGAGGUGUCGGCUUAAGUGCCAUAACGAGCGCAACCCUUGUCGUUAGUUGCCAUCAGGUAAUGCUGGGAACUCUAGCAAGACUGCCACCGUAAGGUGUGAGGAAGGGGGGGAUGACGUCAAAUCAGCACGGCCCUUACGUCCGGGGCGACACACGUGUUACAAUGGCCGGUACAGAGGGCAGCUACCUGGUGACAGGAUGCGAAUCUCAAAAGCCGGUCUCAGUUCGGAUCGGAGUCUGCAACUCGACUCCGUGAAGUUGGAUUCGCUAGUAAUCGCGCAUCAGCCAUGGCGCGGUGAAUACGUUCCCGGGCCUUGUACACACCGCCAUCGGAU
Molecule: ribosomal RNA, 1045 nt
Filed under: uncultured bacterium
Lineage: Bacteria
Description: bacterial SSU rRNA
Rfam family: Bacterial small subunit ribosomal RNA
Source: RNAcentral